This 334-nucleotide ribosomal RNA is filed under the name uncultured Streptococcus sp. RNAcentral describes it as "bacterial SSU rRNA". It matches the Rfam family "Bacterial small subunit ribosomal RNA", at positions 1047 to 1382 of the family's 1533-position model. Lineage: Bacteria; Bacillati; Bacillota; Bacilli; Lactobacillales; Streptococcaceae. The record is from RNAcentral.
GGUUGUCGUCAGCUCGUGUCGUGAGAUGUUGGGUUAAGUCCCGCAACGAGCGCAACCCCUAUUGUUAGUUGCCAUCAUUCAGUUGGGCACUCUAGCGAGACUGCCGGUAAUAAACCGGAGGAAGGUGGGGAUGACGUCAAAUCAUCAUGCCCCUUAUGACCUGGGCUACACACGUGCUACAAUGGUUGGUACAACGAGUUGCGAGUCGGUGACGGCGAGCUAAUCUCUUAAAGCCAAUCUCAGUUCGGAUUGUAGGCUGCAACUCGCUUACAUGAAGUCGGAAUCGCUAGUAAUCGCGGAUCAGCACGCCGCGGUGAAUACGUUCCCGGGCCUU